GACGAACGCUGGCGGCGUGCCUAAUACAUGCAAGUUGAGCGCUGAAGGUUGGUACUUGUACCAACUGGAUGAGCAGCGAACGGGUGAGUAACGCGUGGGGAAUCUGCCUUUGAGCGGGGGACAACAUUUGGAAACGAAUGCUAAUACCGCAUAAAAACUUUAAACACAAGUUUUAAGUUUGAAAGAUGCAAUUGCAUCACUCAAAGAUGAUCCCGCGUUGUAUUAGCUAGUUGGCGAGGUAAAGGCUCACCAAGGCGAUGAUACAUAGCCGACCUGAGAGGGUGAUCGGCCACAUUGGGACUGAGACACGGCCCAAACCCCCAAGGGAGGCAGCAGGAGGGAAUCUUCGGCAAUGGACGAAAGGCUGACCGAGCAACGCCGCGUGAGGGGAGAAGGGUUUCCGAUCGUAAAACUCUGUUGGUAGGGAAGAAAGUUGGUGAGAGUGGAAAGCUCAUCAAGUGACGGUAACUACCCAGAAAGCGACGGCUAACUACGUG
RNAcentral lists this ribosomal RNA (497 nucleotides) under uncultured bacterium. RNAcentral's name for it is "partial 16S ribosomal RNA". It matches the Rfam family "Bacterial small subunit ribosomal RNA", at positions 28 to 507 of the family's 1533-position model. The record is from RNAcentral.